GACGAACGCUGGCGGCGUGCUUAACACAUGCAAGUCGAACGGAAAGGCCCUGCUUUUGUGGGGUGCUCGAGUGGCGAACGGGUGAGUAACACGUGAGUAACCUGCCCUUGACUUUGGGAUAACUUCAGGAAACUGGGGCUAAUACCGGAUAGGAGCUCCUGCUGCAUGGUGGGGGUUGGAAAGUUUCGGCGGUUGGGGAUGGACUCGCGGCUUAUCAGCUUGUUGGUGGGGUAGUGGCUUACCAAGGCUUUGACGGGUAGCCGGCCUGGGAGGGUGACCGGUCACAUUGGGACUGAGAUAGGGCCCAGACUCCUACGGGAGGCAGCAGUGGGGAAUAUUGCACAAUGGGCGGAAGCCUGAUGCAGCAACGCCGCGUGCGGGAUGACGGCCUUCGGGUUGUAAACCGCUUUCGCCUGUGACGAAGCGUGAGUGACGGUAAUGGGUAAAGAAGCACCGGCUAACUACGUG
Molecule: ribosomal RNA, 468 nt
Filed under: uncultured bacterium
Lineage: Bacteria
Description: partial 16S ribosomal RNA
Rfam family: Bacterial small subunit ribosomal RNA
Source: RNAcentral